CCCUUAGAUGUCCGGGGCCGCACGCGCGCUACACUGAAGGAAUCAGCGUGGCUUUCUCCCUGACCCGAAAGGGUUGGGAAACCCGUUGAAUAUCCUUCGUGAUAGGGAUUGGGGCUUGAAAUUGUUCCCCAUGAACGAGGAAUUCCCAGUAAGCGCGAGUCAUAAGCUCGCGUUGAUUACGUCCCUGCCCUUUGUACACACCGCCCGUCGCUACUACCGAUUGAACGGUUUAGUGAGGGCCUCGGAUUGGUCUCGGCCCGCUCUUUACCGGGCGGCGCCGUUGGUCGAGAAGACGCUCGAACUUGAUCGUUUAGAGGAAGUAAAAGUCGUAACA
This 334-nucleotide ribosomal RNA is filed under the name uncultured eukaryote. RNAcentral describes it as "partial 18S ribosomal RNA". It matches the Rfam family "Eukaryotic small subunit ribosomal RNA", at positions 1470 to 1796 of the family's 1831-position model. The record is from RNAcentral.